RNAcentral lists this ribosomal RNA (877 nucleotides) under uncultured eukaryote. RNAcentral's name for it is "SSU rRNA". It matches the Rfam family "Eukaryotic small subunit ribosomal RNA", at positions 636 to 1469 of the family's 1831-position model. The record is from RNAcentral.
CGGUGUUCAACUGGCGUGUCCGCGGGACGUCCUGCCGGUGGGCUUAGCCCGCAAGGGCGGCCCAACUUCAAAUCCCAUCGCGGUGCUCUUCACUGAGUGUCGAGGUGGGCCGGCACGUUUACUUUGAACAAAUUAGAGUGCUUAAAGCAGGCUAAAACUUCGCCUGAAUACUGUGUGCAUGGAAUAAUGGAAUAGGACCUCGGUUCUAUUUUGUUGGUUUUCGGAACCCCGAGGUAAUGAUUAAUAGGAACGGAUGGGGGCAUUCGUAUUGCGACGUUAGAGGUGAAAUUCUUGGAUCGUCGCAAGACGGACAGAAGCGAAAGCAUUUGCCAAAAACGCUUUCAUUGAUCAAGAACGAAAGUUAGAGGUUCGAAGGCGAUCAGAUACCGCCCUAGUUCUAACCAUAAACGAUGCCAGCUAGCGAUCCGUCGACGUUCCUCCGAUGACUCGACGGGCAGCUUCCGGGAAACCAAAGCUUUUGGGUUCCGGGGGAAGUAUGGUUGCAAAGCUGAAACUUAAAGGAAUUGACGGAAGGGCACCACCAGGAGUGGAGCCUGCGGCUUAAUUUGACUCAACACGGGAAACCUCACCAGGCCCGGACACCGGAAGGAUUGACAGAUUGAGAGCUCUUUCUUGAUUCGGUGGGUGGUGGUGCAUGGCCGUUCUUAGUUGGUGGAGCGAUUUGUCUGGUUAAUUCUGAUAACGAACGAGACUCUAGCCUGCUAACUAGGCGUAUUUUCGACAUCUCAAAGGUCCGUCGUCCCGGCCCUCGGGUCGUGGGCGUGCGCGAUUUUUACUGUCGGCGUACUAUCAAUUCUUCUUAGAGGGACAGGUGGCUUCUAGCCGCACGAGAUUGAGCAAUAACAGGUCUGUGAUG